UACGUAGGGGGCAAGCGUUGUCCGGAUUUAUUGGGCGUAAAGAGCGUGUAGGCGGCCGCACAGGUCCGUUGUGAAAACUGGAGGCUUAACCUUCAGACGUCGAUGGAAACCGUGCGGCUAGAGUCCGGAAGAGGGAGAAUGGAAUUCCUGGUGUAGCGGUGAAAUGCGCAGAUAUCAGGAAGAACACCCGUGGCGAAAGCGGCUCUCUGGAACGGUACUGACGCUGAGACGCGAAAGCGUGGGGAGCGAACAGG
RNAcentral lists this ribosomal RNA (254 nucleotides) under uncultured bacterium. RNAcentral describes it as "partial 16S ribosomal RNA". It matches the Rfam family "Bacterial small subunit ribosomal RNA", at positions 524 to 776 of the family's 1533-position model. The record is from RNAcentral.